This is a long non-coding RNA of Etheostoma cragini (Arkansas darter), 223 nucleotides long. RefSeq lists it as uncharacterized. NCBI's taxonomy places the organism in Eukaryota, Metazoa, Chordata, Actinopteri, Perciformes, Percidae. The record is from RefSeq and is a predicted model, not a curated record. The transcript is spliced from 2 exons.
AUCCGACGCACAAAGUCAGUACAAAUCUCACGGUCCUCUUCAUGUGCUGACACCUGCAACUUCCUUAGUGUGUGUGUGUGUGUGUGUGAGAGUGGGGUCUCACCCUGCGAGCCAGCAGCAGCCCGGUGCAGUAGGCAGCAGCAUAGUUAGUAAGGCCUACAGUGAUGCCAUAUUUGGGAAGCUCGUGAGAGUAAGAAGCACACACAAUUUGGUCUCCUUCAAU